GCGGAUUUAGCUCAUUUGGUAGAGCGCCACCUUGCCAAGGGGGAGGUGGCGGGUUCGAGCCCCGUAAUCCGCUCCA
RNAcentral lists this transfer RNA (76 nucleotides) under Clostridia bacterium. RNAcentral's name for it is "tRNA-Gly". It matches the Rfam family "tRNA". From Rfam's summary of the family: Transfer RNA (tRNA) molecules are approximately 80 nucleotides in length. Lineage: Bacteria; Bacillati; Bacillota; Clostridia. The record is from RNAcentral.